RNAcentral lists this ribosomal RNA (1403 nucleotides) under Leishmania braziliensis MHOM/BR/75/M2904. Lineage: Eukaryota; Euglenozoa; Kinetoplastea; Trypanosomatida; Trypanosomatidae. The record is from RNAcentral.
GUUCCGCUGCUUUUGACCCGUCUUGGUGGCGAUGCGCAGCUGUGCAGUGUGGUGCUUCUGCGUUCCGCUGCUUUUGACCCGUCUUGGUGGCGAUGCGCAGCUGUGCAGUGUGGUGCUUCUGCGUUCCGCUGCUUUUGAUCCGUCUUGGUGGCGAUGCGCAGUUGUGCAGUGUGGUGCUUCUGCGUUCCGCUGCUUUUGACCCGUCUUGGUGGCGAUGCGCAGCUGUGCAGUGUGGUGCUUCUGCGUUCCGCUGCUUUUGACCCGUCUUGGUGGCGAUGCGCAGUUGUGCAGUGUGGUGCUUCUGCGUUCCGCUGCUUUUGACCCGUCUUGGUGGCGAUGCGCAGCUGUGCAGUGUGGUGGUUCUGCGUUCCGCUGCUUUUGACCCGUCUUGGUGGCGAUGCGCAGCAGUGCAGUGUGGUGCUUCUGCGUUCCGCUGCUUUUGACCCGUCUUGGUGGCGAUGCGCAGCUGUGCAGUGUGGUGCUUCUGCGUUCCGCUGCUUUUGACCCGUCUUGGUGGCGAUGCGCAGCAGUGCAGUGUGGUGCUUCUGCGUUCCGCUGCUUUUGACCCGUCUUGGUGGCGAUGCGCAGCAGUGCAGUGUGGUGGUUCUGCGUUCCGCUGCUUUUGACCCGUCUUGGUGGCGAUGCGCAGCAGUGCAGUGUGGUGGUUCUGCGUUCCGCUGCUUUUGACCCGUCUUGGUGGCGAUGCGCAGCUGUGCAGUGUGGUGCUUCUGCGUUCUGCUGCUUUUGACCCGUCUUGGUGGCGAUGCGCAGCAGUGCAGUGUGGUGCUUCUGCGUUCCGCUGCUUUUGACCCGUCUUGGUGGCGAUGCGCAGCUGUGCAGUGUGGUGCUUCUGCGUUCCGCUGCUUUUGACCCGUCUUGGUGGCGAUGCGCAGCAGUGCAGUGUGGUGCUUCUGCGUUCUGCUGCUUUUGACCCGUCUUGGUGGCGAUGCGCAGCUGUGCAGUGUGGUGCUUCUGCGUUCCGCUGCUUUUGACCCGUCUUGGUGGCGAUGCGCAGCUGUGCAGUGUGGUGCUUCUGCGUUCCGCUGCUUUUGACCCGUCUUGGUGGCGAUGCGCAGCUGUGCAGUGUGGUGCUUCUGCGUUCCGCUGCUUUUGACCCGUCUUGGUGGCGAUGCGCAGCUGUGCAGUGUGGUGCUUCUGCGUUCCGCUGCUUUUGAUCCGUCUUGGUGGCGAUGCGCAGUUGUGCAGUGUGGUGCUUCUGCGUUCCGCUGCUUUUGACCCGUCUUGGUGGCGAUGCGCAGCUGUGCAGUGUGGUGCUUCUGCGUUCCGCUGCUUUUGACCCGUCUUGGUAGAGAUGCGCAGCUGUGCAGUGUGGUGCUUCUGCGUUCCGCUGCUUUUGACCCGUCUUGGUGGCGAUGCGCAGCUGUGCAGUGUGGUGCUUCUGC